Molecule: ribosomal RNA, 367 nt
Filed under: uncultured organism
Description: bacterial LSU rRNA
Rfam family: Bacterial large subunit ribosomal RNA
Source: RNAcentral
CUUUACUAUAGCCUGGAAUUGUGUUCGGGCUUCGCUUACGCAGGAUAGGUGGGAGGCUGUGAAGUUCUGCUUGUGGGCAGAAUCGAGCCAACGGUGAGAUACCACUUUAGCGAGGCUAGAAUUCUAACCCUUGCCCGUCAUCCGGGAAGGAGACAGUUUCAGGGGGGUAGUUUGACUGGGGCGGUCGCCUCCUAAAAGGUAACGGAGGCGCGCAAAGGUUCUCUCAGGCUGGUUGGAAAUCAGCCGUAGAGUGUAAAGGCAGAAGGGAGCUUGACUGCAAGACCUACAAGUCGAGCAGGGUGGAAACACGGUCUUAGUGAUCCGACGGUGCCGCAUGGAAGGGCCGUCGCUCAACGGAUAAAAGUUA